UAGGAAAUUUCUAUAUUUAUUAUGUGAAUGUAAAAGUGUCAGUAUUUGCGGUAUCAGCGAUAUUUGCUAGAAAUCGAUUUACAAAGAAAUGUUAAUAAUCGUAAUAGUCGUGCCGUUGUUUAUCUUUGGCAUGUGGAGACUCUCUGUCGUUGUAUGGACAGAGCCGCUAGUUUGUGGACAGAGCAGCUAGUGUGUGGAAGAGUCAGUUGUGUGGACAGAGCCGCUAGAGUGAGGAAGGGUCAGUUGUGGACAGAGCAGCUAGUUGUGUGGACAGAGCCGCUAGAGUGAGGAAGGGUCAGUUGUGGACAGAGCAGCUAGUUGUGUGGACAGAGCCGCUAGAGUGAGGAAGGGUCAGUUGUGGACAGAGCAGCUAGUGUGUGGAAGAGUCAUUGUGUGGACAGAGCCGCUAGAGUGAGGAAGGGUCAGUUGUGGACAGAGCAGCUAGUUGUGUGGACAGAGCCGCUAGAGUGAGGAAGGGUCAGUUGUGGACAGAGCAGCUAGUUGUGUGGACAGAGCCGCUAGAGUGAGGAAGGGUCAGUUGUGGACAGAGCAGCUAGUGUGUGGAAGAGUCAUUGUGUGGACAGAGCCGCUAGAGUGAGGAAGGGUCAGUUGUGGACAGAGCAGCUGAAGUGAGGAAGAAGUGAGGAAGUGUUAAUCCUUGAUCGCUCUAGCAGACGCGAUGUGCAGCUACGCUCGCGCCCAUUAGACGCGCCUGAUUCAUUAACCCGCAUUGUGGGCACUAAAGGUUGUGUAUGCA
Molecule: long non-coding RNA, 757 nt
Organism: Schistocerca nitens (vagrant locust)
Lineage: Eukaryota; Metazoa; Arthropoda; Insecta; Orthoptera; Acrididae
Exons: 4
Source: RefSeq, a predicted model, not a curated record